AAUGCUCUGAGGGUAAUAAAGAAUUACAUCUACCUACCUCAGGAGAGAAGAUCGAAACUAAGAGAUGAUGCCUUGAUGACUGAGAAUUCAUGGAAAGGUGGCAUUUAUCUUGUGGGUCAUGGACACUAAAGUAAAAGUCAAGGCUCUCCCAGUGACUAAAAGGCACCUUAGGAACACAUAGGGAUGCAUCUUUCAGGGACAACAGCUUCCAUCUUGUUCGAUUAAUACCUGGAAGAUUCUCAAAAUAGUUGAAAAAUCUGCAAAUGGCUUUAUUGUCUCCUGUCUCCAAACCAUCUCCUCUUCACUUUUUAGCUAAUUGUAC
Molecule: long non-coding RNA, 322 nt
Filed under: Bos indicus x Bos taurus (hybrid cattle)
Lineage: Eukaryota; Metazoa; Chordata; Mammalia; Artiodactyla; Bovidae
Description: lncRNA (ENSBIXG00000002518.1)
Source: RNAcentral